CCCUUAGAUGCCCUGGGCCGCACGCGCGCUACACUGAUGCAUUCAACGAGUAUUUCCUUGGCCGAGAGGCCUGGGCAAUCUUUUAAACCUGCAUCGUGAUAGGGAUAGACUAUUGCAAUUAUUAAUCUUGAAGGAGGAAUUCCUAGUAAACGCAAAUCAUCAAUUUGCAUUGAUUACGUCCCUGCCCUUUGUACACACCGCCCGUCGCACCUACCGAUUGAAUGGUCCGGUGAAAUCUCGGGAUUGUGGCCAGUUCACUUUAUUGGGAGUUGGCUGCGAGAACUUGCUUAAACCUUAUCAUUUAGAGGAAGGUGAAGUCGUAACA
Molecule: ribosomal RNA, 325 nt
Filed under: uncultured eukaryote
Lineage: Eukaryota
Description: partial 18S ribosomal RNA
Rfam family: Eukaryotic small subunit ribosomal RNA
Source: RNAcentral